GAUGAACGCUGGCGGCGUGCUUAACACAUGCAAGUCGAACGAAGAAGCUCAGCUUGCUGGGUGGAUUAGUGGCGAACGGGUGAGUAACACGUGAGUAACCUGCCCUUAACUCUGGGAUAAGCCUGGGAAACUAGGUCUAAUACCGGAUAGGAGCGCCUACCGCAUGGUGGGUGUUGGAAAGAUUUAUCGGUUUUGGAUGGACUCGCGGCCUAUCAGCUUGUUGGUGAGGUAAUGGCUCACCAAGGCGACGACGGGUAGCCGGCCUGAGAGGGUGACCGGCCACACUGGGACUGAGACACGGCCCAGACUCCUACGGGAGGCAGCAGUGGGGAAUAUUGCACAAUGGGCGAAAGCCUGAUGCAGCGACGCCGCGUGAGGGAUGACGGCCUUCGGGUUGUAAACCUCUUUCAGUAGGGAAGAAGCGAAAGUGACGGUACCUGCAGAAGAAGCACCGGCUAACUACGUG
Molecule: ribosomal RNA, 466 nt
Filed under: uncultured bacterium
Lineage: Bacteria
Description: partial 16S ribosomal RNA
Rfam family: Bacterial small subunit ribosomal RNA
Source: RNAcentral